This 210-nucleotide non-coding RNA is filed under the name Candidatus Woeseibacteriota. RNAcentral's name for it is "Candidatus Woesebacteria GlcN6P sequence". It matches the Rfam family "glmS glucosamine-6-phosphate activated ribozyme aptamer". From Rfam's summary of the family: This entry contains a glucosamine-6-phosphate activated ribozyme that is found in the mRNA for GlmS. GlmS is an enzyme that uses fructose-6-phosphate and glutamine to generate glucosamine-6-phosphate. The record is from RNAcentral.
UUCAGGAUUAAGGCGUGUGGUCCCGAGCGACUAAAAGGAGUCGAGGGAAUACGAGGAGAGGGGUUUUGCGAAAAUUUUGCAAAACGAUCGGACUUAGCCUUUUAAGGGCUAAAGUAUCAGCGGAAACCCUCAGGUUGCGGUUACCAACCUGGAUGCGUCAAUUAAAAGCGUUCGGAAACAAACGAAACAAAGUUGACGCUAUGUAAUUAC